CAAGGAGUAGUUUAUAAAGAAUU
This 23-nucleotide transfer RNA is filed under the name Phocoena phocoena relicta. Its description in RNAcentral is "partial tRNA-Pro". The record is from RNAcentral. Lineage: Eukaryota; Metazoa; Chordata; Mammalia; Artiodactyla; Phocoenidae.